AACGAACGCUGGCGGCGUGCUUAACACAUGCAAGUCGUACGAGAAAUCUUGGGCAACUGAGUGAGUAAAGUGGCGCACGGGUGAGUAACGCGUGGGUAACCUACCCUUGAGUUGGGGAUAACUCCGCGAAAGCGGGGCUAAUACCGAAUCCUAUGUCGAGGCCUUCGGGCUUUGACAUCAAAGAUGGCCUCUGCGUGCAAGCUAUCGCUUAAGGAUGGGCCCGCGUACCAUUAGCUUGUUGGUAGGGUAAUGGCCUACCAAGGCAACGAUGGUUAGCUGGUCUGAGAGGAUGACCAGCCACACUGGAACUGAGAUACGGUCCAGACUCCUACGGGAGGCAG
This 341-nucleotide ribosomal RNA is filed under the name uncultured Pseudomonadota bacterium. RNAcentral describes it as "bacterial SSU rRNA". It matches the Rfam family "Bacterial small subunit ribosomal RNA", at positions 29 to 351 of the family's 1533-position model. Lineage: Bacteria; Pseudomonadati; Pseudomonadota. The record is from RNAcentral.